RNAcentral lists this ribosomal RNA (465 nucleotides) under uncultured bacterium. RNAcentral's name for it is "bacterial SSU rRNA". It matches the Rfam family "Bacterial small subunit ribosomal RNA", at positions 330 to 792 of the family's 1533-position model. The record is from RNAcentral.
CCCAGACUCCUACGGGAGGCAGCAGUGAGGAAUAUUGGUCAAUGGGCGGAAGCCUGAACCAGCCAAGUCGCGUGAGGGAAUAAGGCCCUACGGGUCGUAAACCUCUUUUGCCGGGGAGCAACGGGGUCCUUGCGAGGGCCCGAUGAGAGUACCCGGAGAAAAAGCAUCGGCUAACUCCGUGCCAGCAGCCGCGGUAAUACGGAGGAUGCGAGCGUUAUCCGGAUUUAUUGGGUUUAAAGGGUGCGUAGGCGGGCUGUUAAGUCAGCGGUCAAAUGUCGGGGCUCAACCCCGGCCUGCCGUUGAAACUGGCGGCCUUGAGUGGGCGAGAAGUAUGCGGAAUGCGUGGUGUAGCGGUGAAAUGCAUAGAUAUCGCGCAGAACUCCGAUUGCGAAGGCAGCAUGCCGGCUCCACACUGACGCUGAGGCACGAAAGCGUGGGUAUCGAACAGGAUUAGAUACCCCGGUA